UCCCUGGUGGCUCAGAUGAUAAAACGUCUGCCUACAAUGCAGGAGACCCAGGUUCAAUCCCUGGGUUGGGAA
This 72-nucleotide transfer RNA is filed under the name Bos taurus (domestic cattle). It matches the Rfam family "tRNA". Rfam says of the family: Transfer RNA (tRNA) molecules are approximately 80 nucleotides in length. Lineage: Eukaryota; Metazoa; Chordata; Mammalia; Artiodactyla; Bovidae. The record is from Rfam by way of RNAcentral. RNAcentral also lists the same sequence under 2 other names.